AUACAGCUGAUGAGUCCCAAGUAGGACGAAACUCGCGUACUGGAU
This 45-nucleotide non-coding RNA is filed under the name Schistosoma mattheei. The record is from RNAcentral. Lineage: Eukaryota; Metazoa; Platyhelminthes; Trematoda; Strigeidida; Schistosomatidae.